Molecule: ribosomal RNA, 260 nt
Filed under: uncultured bacterium
Lineage: Bacteria
Description: partial 16S ribosomal RNA
Rfam family: Bacterial small subunit ribosomal RNA
Source: RNAcentral
CCGGCGCACGGGUGAGUAACACGUAUCCAACCUGCCGUCUACUCUUGGACAGCCUUCUGAAAGGAAGAUUAAUACAAGAUGGCAUCAUGAGUCCGCAUGUUCACAUGAUUAAAGGUAUUCCGGUAGACGAUGGGGAUGCGUUCCAUUAGAUAGUAGGCGGGGUAACGGGCCCACCUAGUCUUCGAUGGAUAGGGGUUCUGAGAGGAAGGUCCCCCACAUUGGAACUGAGACACGGUCCAAACUCCUACGGAGGCAGCAUG